GCCCUGGUAUCAGAAUGGUUAAGUACUUGGCUGCUAACCAAGUUUGGUGGUUGGAACCCACCCAGUGGCU
This 70-nucleotide transfer RNA is filed under the name Loxodonta africana (African savanna elephant). It matches the Rfam family "tRNA". Rfam says of the family: Transfer RNA (tRNA) molecules are approximately 80 nucleotides in length. Their secondary structure includes four short double-helical elements and three loops (D, anti-codon, and T loops). Lineage: Eukaryota; Metazoa; Chordata; Mammalia; Proboscidea; Elephantidae. The record is from Rfam by way of RNAcentral.